Molecule: ribosomal RNA, 2374 nt
Filed under: Staphylococcus aureus
Lineage: Bacteria; Bacillati; Bacillota; Bacilli; Caryophanales; Staphylococcaceae
Also listed under: 1 other name
Description: partial 23S ribosomal RNA
Rfam family: Bacterial large subunit ribosomal RNA
Source: RNAcentral
AGAACCUGAAACCGUGUGCUUACAAGUAGUCAGAGCCCGUUAAUGGGUGAUGGCGUGCCUUUUGUAGAAUGAACCGGCGAGUUACGAUUUGAUGCAAGGUUAAGCAGUAAAUGUGGAGCCGUAGCGAAAGCGAGUCUGAAUAGGGCGUUUAGUAUUUGGUCGUAGACCCGAAACCAGGUGAUCUACCCUUGGUCAGGUUGAAGUUCAGGUAACACUGAAUGGAGGACCGAACCGACUUACGUUGAAAAGUGAGCGGAUGAACUGAGGGUAGCGGAGAAAUUCCAAUCGAACCUGGAGAUAGCUGGUUCUCUCCGAAAUAGCUUUAGGGCUAGCCUCAAGUGAUGAUUAUUGGAGGUAGAGCACUGUUUGGACGAGGGGCCCCUCUCGGGUUACCGAAUUCAGACAAACUCCGAAUGCCAAUUAAUUUAACUUGGGAGUCAGAACAUGGGUGAUAAGGUCCGUGUUCGAAAGGGAAACAGCCCAGACCACCAGCUAAGGUCCCAAAAUAUAUGUUAAGUGGAAAAGGAUGUGGCGUUGCCCAGACAACUAGGAUGUUGGCUUAGAAGCAGCCAUCAUUUAAAGAGUGCGUAAUAGCUCACUAGUCGAGUGACACUGCGCCGAAAAUGUACCGGGGCUAAACAUAUUACCGAAGCUGUGGAUUGUCCUUUGGACAAUGGUAGGAGAGCGUUCUAAGGGCGUUGAAGCAUGAUCGUAAGGACAUGUGGAGCGCUUAGAAGUGAGAAUGCCGGUGUGAGUAGCGAAAGACGGGUGAGAAUCCCGUCCACCGAUUGACUAAGGUUUCCAGAGGAAGGCUCGUCCGCUCUGGGUUAGUCGGGUCCUAAGCUGAGGCCGACAGGCGUAGGCGAUGGAUAACAGGUUGAUAUUCCUGUACCACCUAUAAUCGUUUUAAUCGAUGGGGGGACGCAGUAGGAUAGGCGAAGCGUGCGAUUGGAUUGCACGUCUAAGCAGUAAGGCUGAGUAUUAGGCAAAUCCGGUACUCGUUAAGGCUGAGCUGUGAUGGGGAGAAGACAUUGUGUCUUCGAGUCGUUGAUUUCACACUGCCGAGAAAAGCCUCUAGAUAGAAAAUAGGUGCCCGUACCGCAAACCGACACAGGUAGUCAAGAUGAGAAUUCUAAGGUGAGCGAGCGAACUCUCGUUAAGGAACUCGGCAAAAUGACCCCGUAACUUCGGGAGAAGGGGUGCUCUUUAGGGUUAACGCCCAGAAGAGCCGCAGUGAAUAGGCCCAAGCGACUGUUUAUCAAAAACACAGGUCUCUGCUAAACCGUAAGGUGAUGUAUAGGGGCUGACGCCUGCCCGGUGCUGGAAGGUUAAGAGGAGUGGUUAGCUUCUGCGAAGCUACGAAUCGAAGCCCCAGUAAACGGCGGCCGUAACUAUAACGGUCCUAAGGUAGCGAAAUUCCUUGUCGGGUAAGUUCCGACCCGCACGAAAGGCGUAACGAUUUGGGCACUGUCUCAACGAGAGACUCGGUGAAAUCAUAGUACCUGUGAAGAUGCAGGUUACCCGCGACAGGACGGAAAGACCCCGUGGAGCUUUACUGUAGCCUGAUAUUGAAAUUCGGCACAGCUUGUACAGGAUAGGUAGGAGCCUUUGAAACGUGAGCGCUAGCUUACGUGGAGGCGCUGGUGGGAUACUACCCUAGCUGUGUUGGCUUUCUAACCCGCACCACUUAUCGUGGUGGGAGACAGUGUCAGGCGGGCAGUUUGACUGGGGCGGUCGCCUCCUAAAAGGUAACGGAGGCGCUCAAAGGUUCCCUCAGAAUGGUUGGAAAUCAUUCAUAGAGUGUAAAGGCAUAAGGGAGCUUGACUGCGAGACCUACAAGUCGAGCAGGGUCGAAAGACGGACUUAGUGAUCCGGUGGUUCCGCAUGGAAGGGCCAUCGCUCAACGGAUAAAAGCUACCCCGGGGAUAACAGGCUUAUCUCCCCCAAGAGUUCACAUCGACGGGGAGGUUUGGCACCUCGAUGUCGGCUCAUCGCAUCCUGGGGCUGUAGUCGGUCCCAAGGGUUGGGCUGUUCGCCCAUUAAAGCGGUACGCGAGCUGGGUUCAGAACGUCGUGAGACAGUUCGGUCCCUAUCCGUCGUGGGCGUAGGAAAUUUGAGAGGAGCUGUCCUUAGUACGAGAGGACCGGGAUGGACAUACCUCUGGUGUACCAGUUGUCGUGCCAACGGCAUAGCUGGGUAGCUAUGUGUGGACGGGAUAAGUGCUGAAAGCAUCUAAGCAUGAAGCCCCCCUCAAGAUGAGAUUUCCCAACUUCGGUUAUAAGAUCCCUCAAAGAUGAUGAGGUUAAUAGGUUCGAGGUGGAAGCAUGGUGACAUGUGGAGCUGACGAAUACUAAUCGAUCGAAGACUUAAUCAA